Molecule: ribosomal RNA, 671 nt
Filed under: Vibrio metschnikovii
Lineage: Bacteria; Pseudomonadati; Pseudomonadota; Gammaproteobacteria; Vibrionales; Vibrionaceae
Description: partial 23S ribosomal RNA
Rfam family: Bacterial large subunit ribosomal RNA
Source: RNAcentral
UGGUGGGUAGUUUGACUGGGGCGGUCUCCUCCCAAAGAGUAACGGAGGAGCACGAAGGUGGGCUAAUCACGGUUGGACAUCGUGAGGUUAGUGCAAUGGCAUAAGCCCGCUUAACUGCGAGAAUGACGGUUCGAGCAGGUGCGAAAGCAGGUCAUAGUGAUCCGGUGGUUCUGAAUGGAAGGGCCAUCGCUCAACGGAUAAAAGGUACUCCGGGGAUAACAGGCUGAUACCGCCCAAGAGUUCAUAUCGACGGCGGUGUUUGGCACCUCGAUGUCGGCUCAUCACAUCCUGGGGCUGAAGUCGGUCCCAAGGGUAUGGCUGUUCGCCAUUUAAAGUGGUACGCGAGCUGGGUUUAGAACGUCGUGAGACAGUUCGGUCCCUAUCUGCCGUGGGCGUUGGAGAAUUGAAGGGGGCUGCUCCUAGUACGAGAGGACCGGAGUGGACGAACCUCUGGUGUUCGGGUUGUCACGCCAGUGGCAUUGCCCGGUAGCUAAGUUCGGAAUUGAUAAGCGCUGAAAGCAUCUAAGCGCGAAGCGAGCCCUGAGAUGAGUUCUCCCUGGCACUAUAAGUGUCCUAAAGGGUUGUUCGAGACUAGAACGUUGAUAGGCAGGGUGUGUAAGCGCUGUGAGGCGUUGAGCUAACCUGUACUAAUUGCCCGUGAGGCUUAACCA